GGGUAACCUACCUAUAAGACUGGGACAACUUCGGGAAACCGGAGCUAAUACCGGAUAAGAUAUCGAACCGCAUGGUUCGAUAGUGGAAGAUGGUUUUGCUAUCACUUAUAGAUGGACCCGCGCCGUAUUAGCUAGUUGGUGAGGUAACGGCUCACCAAGGCAACGAUACGUAGCCGACCUGAGAGGGUGAUCGGCCACACUGGAACUGAGACACGGUCCAG
This 221-nucleotide ribosomal RNA is filed under the name uncultured Staphylococcus sp. RNAcentral's name for it is "partial 16S ribosomal RNA". It matches the Rfam family "Bacterial small subunit ribosomal RNA", at positions 119 to 334 of the family's 1533-position model. The record is from RNAcentral. Lineage: Bacteria; Bacillati; Bacillota; Bacilli; Caryophanales; Staphylococcaceae.